This 234-nucleotide unclassified non-coding RNA is filed under the name Hevea brasiliensis (rubber tree). The record is from RNAcentral. Lineage: Eukaryota; Viridiplantae; Streptophyta; Magnoliopsida; Malpighiales; Euphorbiaceae.
AUCACCACGCUGGCUUUUUCUGAAGAAUGAGAAGUCUGAUGCUGUGGCAGUACUUUCAAAAAUAUAUGACACUGACCGCUUAGACGAGGAAUUAGAUUUGCUCUCUGUUGCUUCGUCAACCAUGGACAUUAAUUCUACGCAAUCUGUCAAGUACAUGGAUGUUUUUAAAUCCAAGGAAAUGAGGCUUGCAUUUUUUACAGGAGCAGGCCUUCAGGCAUUCCAGCAGUUCACCGG